This 409-nucleotide ribosomal RNA is filed under the name bacterium. RNAcentral's name for it is "partial 16S ribosomal RNA". It matches the Rfam family "Bacterial small subunit ribosomal RNA", at positions 355 to 776 of the family's 1533-position model. The record is from RNAcentral.
UGGGGAAUAUUGCACAAUGGGCGAAAGCCUGAUGCAGCGACGCCGCGUGAGGGAUGACGGCCUUCGGGUUGUAAACCUCUUUCAGUAGGGACGAAGCGCAAGUGACGGUACCUGCAGAAGAAGCACCGGCUAACUACGUGCCAGCAGCCGCGGUAAUACGUAGGGUGCGAGCGUUGUCCGGAAUUACUGGGCGUAAAGAGCUCGUAGGCGGUUUGUCACGUCGUCUGUGAAAUCCUAGGGCUUAACCCUGGACGUGCAGGCGAUACGGGCUGACUUGAGUACUACAGGGGAGACUGGAAUUUCUGGUGUAGCGGUGGAAUGCACAGAUAUCAGGAAGAGCACAGAUGGCGAAGGCAGGUCUCUGGGUAGUAACUGACGCUGAGGAGCGAAAGCAUGGGUAGCGAACAGG